This 250-nucleotide ribosomal RNA is filed under the name uncultured bacterium. RNAcentral's name for it is "partial 16S ribosomal RNA". It matches the Rfam family "Bacterial small subunit ribosomal RNA", at positions 355 to 602 of the family's 1533-position model. The record is from RNAcentral.
UAGGGAAUAUUGGACAAUGGGCGCAAGCCUGAUCCAGCCAUCCCGCGUGAAGGAUUAAGGCCCUCUGGGUUGUAAACUUCUUUUCUCUGGGAAUAAAAAGUGGGAUUUAUCCUGCCUUGAAGGUACCAGAGGAAUAAGCACCGGCUAACUCCGUGCCAGCAGCCGCGGUAAUACGGAGGGUGCAAGCGUUAUCCGGAUUCACUGGGUUUAAAGGGAGCGUAGGUGGCUUUGUAAGUCAGUGGUGAAAUAU